ACGGGUUUGCAAGCCACAUAUA
RNAcentral lists this microRNA (22 nucleotides) under Plutella xylostella (diamondback moth). RNAcentral's name for it is "pxy-miR-8524-5p". The record is from miRBase by way of RNAcentral. Lineage: Eukaryota; Metazoa; Arthropoda; Insecta; Lepidoptera; Plutellidae.